GAGUUUGAUCUUGGCUCAGAUUGAACGCUGGCGGCAGGCCUAACACAUGCAAGUCGAGCGGAUGAAGGGAGCUUGCUCCUGGAUUCAGCGGUGGACGGGUGAGUAAUGCCUAGGAAUCUGCCUGGUAGUGGGGGAUAACGUCCGGAAACGGGCGCUAAUACCGCAUACGUCCUGAGGGAGAAAGUGGGGGAUCUUCGGACCUCACGCUAUCAGAUGAGCCUAGGUCGGAUUAGCUAGUUGGUGGGGUAAAGGCCUACCAAGGCGACGAUCCGUAACUGGUCUGAGAGGAUGAUCAGUCACACUGGAACUGAGACACGGUCCAGACUCCUACGGGAGGCAGCAGUGGGGAAUAUUGGACAAUGGGCGAAAGCCUGAUCCAGCCAUGCCGCGUGUGUGAAGAAGGUCUUCGGAUUGUAAAGCACUUUAAGUUGGGAGGAAGGGCAGUAAGUUAAUACCUUGCUGUUUUGACGUUACCAACAGAAUAAGCACCGGCUAACUUCGUGCCAG
RNAcentral lists this ribosomal RNA (507 nucleotides) under uncultured microorganism. RNAcentral's name for it is "bacterial SSU rRNA". It matches the Rfam family "Bacterial small subunit ribosomal RNA", at positions 9 to 511 of the family's 1533-position model. The record is from RNAcentral.